UGGGAGCGACGGCUACUUUUGAUCCUGCUU
RNAcentral lists this non-coding RNA (30 nucleotides) under Mus musculus (house mouse). The record is from RNAcentral. Lineage: Eukaryota; Metazoa; Chordata; Mammalia; Rodentia; Muridae.